AAAGAUUUAGUUUAAAAAAAACAUUAAAUUGUCAAAUUAAAAUUAUUUAUUAAUAAUCUUUU
Molecule: transfer RNA, 62 nt
Filed under: Eupteryx gracilirama
Lineage: Eukaryota; Metazoa; Arthropoda; Insecta; Hemiptera; Cicadellidae
Description: tRNA-Asp
Source: RNAcentral